GGGUUGUGAGGUUAAGCGACUAAGCGUACACGGUGGAUGCCCUGGCAGUCAGAGGCGAUGAAGGACGUGCUAAUCUGCGAAAAGCGUCGGUAAGGUGAUAUGAACCGUUACAGCCGGCGAUGUCCGAAUGGGGAAACCCAGUGCAAUUCGUUGCACUAUCGUUAACUGAAUACAUAGGUUAACGAGGCGAACCGGGGGAACUGAAACAUCUAAGUACCCCGAGGAAAAGAAAUCAACCGAGAUUCCCCCAGUAGCGGCGAGCGAACGGGGAGCAGCCCGGAGUCUGAAUCAGCUUGUGUGUUAGUGGAAGCGUCUGGAAAGUCGCAGGGUACAGGGUGAUACUCCCGUACACUAAAACACACAGGUUGUGAACUCGAAGAGUAGGGCGGGACACGUGGUAUCCUGUCUGAAUAUGGGGGGACCAUCCUCCAAGGCUAAAUACUCCUGACUGACCGAUAGUGAACCAGUACCGUGAGGGAAAGGCGAAAAGAACCCCGGCGAGGGGAGUGAAAAAGAACCUGAAACCGUGUACGUACAAGCAGUAGGAGCCCACUUGUUGGGUGACUGCGUACCUUUUGUAUAAUGGGUCAGCGACUUAUAUUCUGUAGCAAGGUUAACCGUAUAGGGGAGCCGCAGGGAAACCGAGUCUUAACUGGGCGUUAAGUUGCAGGGUAUAGACCCGAAACCCGGUGAUCUAGCCAUGGGCAGGUUGAAGGUUGGGUAACACUAACUGGAGGACCGAACCGACUAAUGUUGAAAAAUUAGCGGAUGACUUGUGGCUGGGGGUGAAAGGCCAAUCAAACCGGGAGAUAGCUGGUUCUCCCCGAAAGCUAUUUAGGUAGCGCCUCGUGAACUCAUCUUCGGGGGUAGAGCACUGUUUCGGCUAGGGGGUCAUCCCGACUUACCAACCCGAUGCAAACUACGAAUACCGAAGAAUGUUAUCACGGGAGACACACGGCGGGUGCUAACGUCCGUCGUGAAGAGGGAAACAACCCAGACCGCCAGCUAAGGUCCCAAAGUCAUGGUUAAGUGGGAAACGAUGUGGGAAGGCCCAGACAGCCAGGAUGUUGGCUUAGAAGCAGCCAUCAUUUAAAGAAAGCGUAAUAGCUCACUGGUCGAGUCGGCCUGCGCGGAAGAUGUAACGGGGCUAAACCAUGCACCGAAGCUGCGGCAGCGACACUAUGUGUUGUUGGGUAGGGGAGCGUUCUGUAAGCCGUUGAAGGUGGCCUGUGAGGGUUGCUGGAGGUAUCAGAAGUGCGAAUGCUGACAUAAGUAACGAUAAUGCGGGUGAAAAACCCGCACGCCGGAAGACCAAGGGUUCCUGUCCAACGUUAAUCGGGGCAGGGUGAGUCGACCCCUAAGGCGAGGCCGAAAGGCGUAGUCGAUGGGAAACAGGUUAAUAUUCCUGUACUCGGUGUUACUGCGAAGGGGGGACGGAGAAGGCUAUGUUGGCCGGGCGACGGUUGUCCCGGUUUAAGCAUGUAGGCGGAUGUUCCAGGUAAAUCCGGAGCGUCACUAACGCUGAGGUGUGAUGACGAGGCACUACGGUGCUGAAGUGACAAAUGCCCUGCUUCCAGGAAAAGCCUCUAAGCAUCAGGUAACAUCAAAUCGUACCCCAAACCGACACAGGUGGUCAGGUAGAGAAUACCAAGGCGCUUGAGAGAACUCGGGUGAAGGAACUAGGCAAAAUGGUGCCGUAACUUCGGGAGAAGGCACGCUGAUGGUAAGUGAAGUGACUUGCUCAUGAAGCUGAAAUCAGUCGAAGAUACCAGCUGGCUGCAACUGUUUAUUAAAAACACAGCACUGUGCAAACACGAAAGUGGACGUAUACGGUGUGACGCCUGCCCGGUGCCGGAAGGUUAAUUGAUGGGGUUAUCCUCGCGGAGAAGCUCUUGAUCGAAGCCCCGGUAAACGGCGGCCGUAACUAUAACGGUCCUAAGGUAGCGAAAUUCCUUGUCGGGUAAGUUCCGACCUGCACGAAUGGCGUAAUGAUGGCCAGGCUGUCUCCACCCGAGACUCAGUGAAAUUGAACUCGCUGUGAAGAUGCAGUGUACCCGCGGCAAGACGGAAAGACCCCGUGAACCUUUACUAUAGCUUGACACUGAACACUGGUCCUUGAUGUGUAGGAUAGGUGGGAGGCUUUGAAGUGUGGACGCCAGUCUGCAUGGAGCCAUCCUUGAAAUACCACCCUUUAAUGGCUGGUGUUCUAACGUGGGCCCGUAAUCCGGGUUGCGGACAGUGUCUGGUGGGUAGUUUGACUGGGGCGGUCUCCUCCUAAAGAGUAACGGAGGAGCACGAAGGUCAGCUAAUCCUGGUCGGACAUCAGGAGGUUAGUGCAAUGGCAUAAGCUGGCUUGACUGCGAGCGUGACGGCGCGAGCAGGUGCGAAAGCAGGUCAUAGUGAUCCGGUGGUUCUGAAUGGAAGGGCCAUCGCUCAACGGAUAAAAGGUACUCCGGGGAUAACAGGCUGAUACCGCCCAAGAGUUCAUAUCGACGGCGGUGUUUGGCACCUCGAUGUCGGCUCAUCACAUCCUGGGGCUGAAGUAGGUCCCAAGGGUAUGGCUGUUCGCCAUUUAAAGUGGUACGCGAGCUGGGUUUAGAACGUCGUGAGACAGUUCGGUCCCUAUCUGCCGUGGGCGCUGGAGAAUUGAGGGGGGCUGCUCCUAGUACGAGAGGACCGGAGUGGACGCAUCACUGGUGUUCGGGUUGUCAUGCCAAUGGCAUUGCCCGGUAGCUAAAUGCGGAAGAGAUAAGUGCUGAAAGCAUCUAAGCACGAAACUUGCCCCGAGAUGAGUUCUCCCUGACCCUUUAAGGGUCCUGAAGGAACGUUGAAGACGACGACGUUGAUAGGCCGGGUGUGUAAGCGCAGCGAUGCGUUGAGCUAACCGGUACUAAUGAACCGUGAGGCUUAACCUUACAACGCCGAAG
RNAcentral lists this ribosomal RNA (2927 nucleotides) under Klebsiella michiganensis. RNAcentral describes it as "23S ribosomal RNA". It matches the Rfam family "Bacterial large subunit ribosomal RNA". The record is from RNAcentral. Lineage: Bacteria; Pseudomonadati; Pseudomonadota; Gammaproteobacteria; Enterobacterales; Enterobacteriaceae.